This 71-nucleotide non-coding RNA is filed under the name Mumia flava. The record is from RNAcentral. Lineage: Bacteria; Bacillati; Actinomycetota; Actinomycetes; Propionibacteriales; Nocardioidaceae.
CAGGAACCCGGCGCAACUCCGGGGCGGUUCCGCCACUGUGACCCGGCCGUACGGCCGGCAGCCAGACACUG